CAGGACGAAGUCAGGGACACCUCUAGGACAGAGGCUUAAAGGAUUUGCUUCAGGACGAAGUCAGGGACACCUCUAGGACAGAGGCUCAAAGGAUUCACUUCAGGAUGAAGUCAGGGACACCUUCAGGAUUGAAGAGAGAGUUGAAACUGGAUUAUUCAACGGGUCAGGGAAUACCGUAGGACACUCUAGGAUAGAGUGGGGAAUUAUGCUUUAGGAAGAAGUACAUCAUGGAAUGAUGCAGGGAGCAUGGUAGUAGCAGGAUUGCUGCAAGUGAGAUCUAAAGGCGUGACGAAAGUCACGCCUUUUCUUGUUGU
RNAcentral lists this non-coding RNA (314 nucleotides) under Photobacterium profundum SS9. The record is from RNAcentral. Lineage: Bacteria; Pseudomonadati; Pseudomonadota; Gammaproteobacteria; Vibrionales; Vibrionaceae.